RNAcentral lists this transfer RNA (71 nucleotides) under Cryptococcus deneoformans JEC21. Its description in RNAcentral is "tRNA-Ala (CGC) (tRNA-Ala-CGC-1-1, tRNA-Ala-CGC-1-2)". It matches the Rfam family "tRNA". From Rfam's summary of the family: Transfer RNA (tRNA) molecules are approximately 80 nucleotides in length. Their secondary structure includes four short double-helical elements and three loops (D, anti-codon, and T loops). The record is from RNAcentral. Lineage: Eukaryota; Fungi; Basidiomycota; Tremellomycetes; Tremellales; Cryptococcaceae. RNAcentral also lists the same sequence under 22 other names.
GGGGGUGUGGUCAAGGGGUAUGACAAGCGAUCCGCAUUCGCUUAGCCUGGGUUCGAGUCCCAGCUCCUCCA